RNAcentral lists this ribosomal RNA (458 nucleotides) under uncultured Clostridium sp. RNAcentral describes it as "bacterial SSU rRNA". It matches the Rfam family "Bacterial small subunit ribosomal RNA", at positions 8 to 484 of the family's 1533-position model. The record is from RNAcentral. Lineage: Bacteria; Bacillati; Bacillota; Clostridia; Eubacteriales; Clostridiaceae.
AGAGUUUGAUCCUGGCUCAGCGAACGCUGGCGGCGUGCCUAACACAUGCAAGUCGAGCGAUGAAGUUCCUUCGGGAAAUGGAUUAGCGGCGGACGGGUGAGUAACACGUGGGUAACCUGCCUUAUAGUGGGGGAUAGCCUUUCGAAAGGAAGAUUAAUACCGCAUAAGAUUGUAGUAUCGCAUGAUAUAGCAAUUAAAGGAGCAAUUCGCUAUAAGAUGGACCCGCGUCGCAUUAGCUAGUUGGUGAGGUAAUGGCUCACCAAGGCGACGAUGCGUAGCCGACCUGAGAGGGUGAUCGGCCACAUUGGGACUGAGACACGGCCCAGACUCCUACGGGAGGCAGCAGUGGGGAAUAUUGCACAAUGGGCGAAAGCCUGAUGCAGCAACGCCGCGUGAGUGAUGACGGCCUUCGGGUUGUAAAACUCUGUCUUCAGGGACGAUAAUGACGGUACCUGAGG